This 337-nucleotide unclassified non-coding RNA is filed under the name uncultured Paraglomeraceae. RNAcentral's name for it is "sequence contains 18S rRNA gene". RNAcentral also lists the same sequence under 1 other name. Lineage: Eukaryota; Fungi; Glomeromycota; Glomeromycetes; Paraglomerales. The record is from RNAcentral.
CCCAACUAUCCCUAUUAAUCAUUACAACGGUCCUAGAACCAACAAAAUAGAACCAUCGUCCUAUUCCAUUAUUCCAUGCUAAUGUAUUCGAGCAUAUUUGCCUGCUUUGAACACUCUAAUUUUUUCACAGUAAAAGUCCUGGUUCCCCGACACAACCAAUUAAGGCCAUGCCGCUUCGCCAGAAGGUAGGACCCACCCAAGGACAGUACACACCAAUUAAGGCGGACCGUCUGGACAGGCCUGAAGUUCAACUACGAGCUUUUUAACUGCAACAACUUUAAUAUACGCUAUUGGAGCUGGAAUUACCGCGGCUGCUGGCACCAGACUUGCCCUCCAA